RNAcentral lists this ribosomal RNA (253 nucleotides) under uncultured bacterium. RNAcentral describes it as "partial 16S ribosomal RNA". It matches the Rfam family "Bacterial small subunit ribosomal RNA", at positions 524 to 776 of the family's 1533-position model. The record is from RNAcentral.
UACGUAGGUGGCAAGCGUUGUCCGGAUUUACUGGGCGUAAAGGAUGCGUAGGCGGACAUUUAAGUCAGAUGUGAAAUACCCGAGCUUAACUUGGGUGCUGCAUUUGAAACUGGGUGUCUAGAGUGCAGGAGAGGUAAGUGGAAUUCCUAGUGUAGCGGUGAAAUGCGUAGAGAUUAGGAAGAACACCGGUGGCGAAGGCGGCCCCCUGGACCGGUACUGACGCUGAGGCGCGAAAGCGUGGGGAGCAAACGGG